GACGAACGCUGGCGGCGUGCUUAACACAUGCAAGUCGAACGAAGAGCGAUGGAAGCUUGCUUCUAUCAAUCUUAGUGGCGAACGGGUGAGUAACGCGUAAUCAACCUGCCCUUCAGAGGGGGACAACAGUUGGAAACGACUGCUAAUACCGCAUACGAUCUAAUCUCGGCAUCGAGGAUAGAUGAAAGGUGGCCUCUACAUGUAAGCUAUCACUGAAGGAGGGGAUUGCGUCUGAUUAGCUAGUUGGAGGGGUAACGGCCCACCAAGGCGAUGAUCGGUAGCCGGUCUGAGAGGAUGAACGGCCACAUUGGGACUGAGACACGGCCCAGACUCCUACGGGAGGCAGCAGUGGGGAAUCUUCCGCAAUGGACGAAAGUCUGACGGAGCAACGCCGCGUGAGUGAUGACGGCCUUCGGGUUGUAAAGCUCUGUUAAUCGGGACGAAAGGCCUUCUUGCGAAUAGUGAGAAGGAA
RNAcentral lists this ribosomal RNA (472 nucleotides) under Veillonella parvula. RNAcentral describes it as "bacterial SSU rRNA". It matches the Rfam family "Bacterial small subunit ribosomal RNA", at positions 28 to 477 of the family's 1533-position model. The record is from RNAcentral. Lineage: Bacteria; Bacillati; Bacillota; Negativicutes; Veillonellales; Veillonellaceae.